CUUUCUUCUUCCUAGUACACAAAGGGCAGCCGUCCCGAACUGCAGCUCCCCUUCGCAAGGUGUUAUCUUCUUCCCUAAAGGCCACAGCGAUGCAGGCCGGUUGGCACUCCCUCCUUCGGCGCGGCGGCAACCUCCUGAGGCAUAGUGCCAGGCUGGUGCCGCCCUCAGCGCGCGCCGGGACGACCACCGCGAGAGCCAGGCCAAGGGCGCUCUCCACCGUUCCUGCUCUGCGAAGUGUCUCGACGGCUGCGACCCCCGACCUGACUCGACCUCAGCCAGGCCUUGUGAAGGCGAGCCAAGGUCACGACACGCUC
Penaeus vannamei (Pacific white shrimp) is the source of this 314-nucleotide non-coding RNA. Lineage: Eukaryota; Metazoa; Arthropoda; Malacostraca; Decapoda; Penaeidae. The record is from RefSeq and is a predicted model, not a curated record.